This 497-nucleotide ribosomal RNA is filed under the name uncultured bacterium. RNAcentral's name for it is "partial 16S ribosomal RNA". It matches the Rfam family "Bacterial small subunit ribosomal RNA", at positions 28 to 523 of the family's 1533-position model. The record is from RNAcentral.
GAUGAACGCUGGCGGCGUGCUUAACACAUGCAAGUCGAACGAAGCACUUUUACAGAUUUCUUCGGAAUGAAGUUUUAGUGACUGAGUGGCGGACGGGUGAGUAACGCGUGGGUAACCUGCCUCACACAGGGGGAUAACAGUUGGAAACGGCUGCUAAUACCGCAUAAGCGCACAGUACCGCAUGGUACAGUGUGAAAAACUCCGGUGGUGUGAGAUGGACCCGCGUCUGAUUAGCUAGUUGGCAGGGCAACGGCCUACCAAGGCGACGAUCAGUAGCCGACCUGAGAGGGUGACCGGCCACAUUGGGACUGAGACACGGCCCAAACUCCUACGGGAGGCAGCAGUGGGGAAUAUUGCACAAUGGGGGAAACCCUGAUGCAGCGACGCCGCGUGAGCGAAGAAGUAUUUCGGUAUGUAAAGCUCUAUCAGCAGGGAAGAAGAAAUGACGGUACCUGACUAAGAAGCACCGGCUAAAUACGUGCCAGCAGCCGCCGUAA